UUUUUUUUUUUUUAAUUUGAGACAGAGUCUUGCCCUUGUCACCCAGGCUGUAGUGCAAUGGCACAAUCUCGGCUUACUGCAACCUCUGCCUCUUGGGUUCAGGCGAUUCUCCUGCCUCAGCCUCCCGAGUAGCUGGGGUUAUAGGCACCCGCCACUGUGUCUAAUUUUUGUAUUUUUAGUAGAGAUGGAGUUUUGCUCUGUUAGGCUGGUCUCGAAUUCCUGACCUCAAGUGAUCCGUCCACCUCAGCCUCCCAAAGUGCUGGGAUUACAGGCGUCAGCCACCACACCUGACCUCUUUUAGCUUGUUUUUCAUGAAGGACAUCCUAAGACACCAGCUGGACUGCAGCGUGACCUGACGACAUGUAAGUCCGAACGGACACAGAGCGGUGGCGUCUAUUUUGCCAGGCAGCGUUCUGGUGUGUGUUACAUCAUGUUCACACACGGCACCCGCAGGAGCCUUCUGGGAGGGAGGUGUUGUGAUUCGCCAUUUAUGUGAUUUCAUCAAUAUGCAUUUUAUCAGCCAUGCAGUUUUAAGGGGCAGAGCCAGAAAUGAGCCAAGCAACUGGCUCCACUGCCCACGCCAUCAGCCACCGUGCCAUGAUGCCUCUUGAGUCAUUCAGACUCCCGGCCCCGUCCGAGCUGACGCCUGUCACAGCCAUGCACAGGGCUGAGCGAAGCCUCGGGAAUGUUAAGGCAGGUUGCCGGUUGCCCCUGCAUCCUGUAGACAGAACCCAAGCAAGUCAGGGUGCUCUGUGCAGUUCUGAGCAUGAUGCAGUGGGAGACAGGGCAGCACUGGGUCCUGGGGCAGGGCAGGCCCGGCCCGGCUCCACCAGCUGUCUCCCACCUGCCCUCCUGGGGGUCAUUUAGGGGAAUAACAGUAGGCUGAAUCUCCUAGCAGGACUUAAUUGGAAGAAGUAAAAGUAUUGGGAAUUUCCUGAAGAAGAGCUUUUACACAAUAGAUAUUCUUGAAGUCCAUUUACCGUAGGCUGGUAAAUAAAGUAUUGAGCAAUCUGCUCCUAACCCACUCGCCCUCAUGCCUCACUCCCCUCUGUCCUACUGCACGAGCUCAUGGAAUUGCCUGUGGCUCUCCUGAUGAACCGUCUAUGGGUGUGUGUGUGUAUGUGUGUGUAGGGAGUAUUUGUGUAUUCAUAUAUUACUAGUGGAGCUUUUGCCUGUGCAAUUCUCGCUGCCUAAGACAACCCCCAUUUUGGUUUGAGGAGCAGAAUUCUUGCUCAUUCUUUAAGCUCAAGCUGCCAUGGUGCGUUCUCUAAUAAGCCUUCCUCACUUCUGGUUUUAGUUGCUCCACAGUCUGUGUUUGCAGAGAAAGUCUUAUUUUAGCACCACAUAGUAUCAUUACAGAUAGGGAGGUGUAUGUGUCAUCCUUUUCCUU
This 1390-nucleotide long non-coding RNA is filed under the name Macaca fascicularis (crab-eating macaque). Its description in RNAcentral is "lncRNA (ENSMFAG00000060339.1)". Lineage: Eukaryota; Metazoa; Chordata; Mammalia; Primates; Cercopithecidae. The record is from RNAcentral.